GGAUGGGAGGGGGGGUUGGGGAGUGGUUAGGGCAAAAGAUGGCAGGAUAAAUCAUAGACCAGGGAAAAAGGGGGAAGCAAGCAAGCCAGGGAGGGAGGGAGAUGGGGGAGUGGGAAAAUGGGUAAGGGGAGGAGUGGGGGGUCAGGAAACGUUUGAAAUGGUAGAAUGAAAGGUUUGAAGGUGAGAGACAGGAAUGGAAGGAAUCCAUGAGACAACCGGAAAGAUGGAGAGAGCGGUUGAGGGAUAGAAAGAACGAAAGAUGGAGCGAGAGGUUGAGGGAUAGAAAGAACGAAAGAUGGAGAGAGCGGUUGAGGGAUAGAAAGAACGAAAGAUGGAGAGAGAGGUUGAGGGAUAGAAAGAACGAAAGAUGGAGAGAGAGGUUGAGGGAUAGAAAGAACGAAAGAUGGAGAGAGAGGUUGAGGGAUAGAAAGAACGAAAGAUGGAGCGAGAGGUUGAGGGAUAGAAAGAACGAAAGAUGGAGAGAGAGGUUGAGGGAUAGAAAGAACGAAAGAUGGAGAGAGAGGUUGAGGGAUAGAAAGAACGAAAGAUGGAGAGAGAGGUUGAGGGAUAGAAAGAACGAAAGAUGGAGAGAGAGGUUGAGGGAUAGAAAGAACGAAAGAUGGAGAGAGAGGUUGAGGGAUAGAAAGAACGAAAGAUGGAGAGAGAGGUUGAGGGAUAGAAAGAACGAAAGAUGGAGAGAGAGGUUGAGGGAUAGAAAGAACGAAAGAUGGAGAGAGAGGUUGAGGGAUAGAAAGAACGAAAGAUGGAGAGAGGUUGAGGGAUAGAAAGAACGAAAGAUGGAAGGAGAGAAAAGAUGGAGACAGCGAGAGAUAGAGAGAGAGGGAGCAAGAGAACAAGAGUUACAUGCGAUUAGAUUUCCUUCAAG
Oncorhynchus keta (chum salmon) is the source of this 886-nucleotide long non-coding RNA. RefSeq lists it as uncharacterized. The transcript is spliced from 4 exons. NCBI's taxonomy places the organism in Eukaryota, Metazoa, Chordata, Actinopteri, Salmoniformes, Salmonidae. The record is from RefSeq and is a predicted model, not a curated record.